UACAGAGGGUGCGAGCGUUAAUCGGAAUUACUGGGCGUAAAGCGCACGUAGUCGGCUUUGCAAGUCGGUUGUGAAAUCCCCGGGCUCAACCUGGGAACUGCAUCCGAGACUGCAUUGCUAGAGUAUGGGAGAGGAAAGCGGAAUUUCUGGUGUAGCAGUGAAAUGCGUAGAUAUCGAGAGGAACACCUGCGGCGAAGGCGGGUUGCUGGGCCGACACUGACGCUGAGGCGCGAAAGCCAGGGGAGCGAACGGG
RNAcentral lists this ribosomal RNA (253 nucleotides) under uncultured bacterium. RNAcentral describes it as "partial 16S ribosomal RNA". It matches the Rfam family "Bacterial small subunit ribosomal RNA", at positions 524 to 776 of the family's 1533-position model. The record is from RNAcentral.